This 5046-nucleotide long non-coding RNA is filed under the name Hordeum vulgare. RNAcentral's name for it is "long non-coding RNA (HVUL_LNC004871)". The stretch from base 2285 to 2411 matches the Rfam family "MIR1120/MIR1122 microRNA precursor family". The record is from RNAcentral. Lineage: Eukaryota; Viridiplantae; Streptophyta; Magnoliopsida; Poales; Poaceae.
UUAUGUAUUAACUACUAUAUGUCCUUUUCACAACCAGUUAUUCAGGAGUUUUUACACCCAACUCCUCAACAACGAGUAGUAUAUAUUUACAUCAUAGACAAUUACUAAUCACAUUAUUGAGUUCUAUUACAGUGACUGCGCCAUCAUUGGCGUAACCCAGGUGCCAUUGAGCAUCUUCGGGCCCUGCUGACUAAAUUCUGGAGCUGGGACAUCCAUAUUUGCCCUACGCCAAGAAUUAUUAACAUCCUGAACUAGUCAUUAAUUUCUGUACAAUGACUUGUUCCCACCUCAUCCAGUGGGACAAGAAUUUACAACCGACCCAACGUGUAAGCUAUAUUCACCAACCAAAGUAAGCUAUAUUCACAUUCAGGCGAGCGCUUUGUACCACGGGCCGUGGACCUUCUCCGAGACCGUGGCCACCCUAAUGAGCACUUCGGCCGCCUUCACCACCCGGCCAGCGAGCUUCGCCGCGCCGACGCGGCGUAGAGCUGCGUCCGCCAGCUUCUGGCCCUUGGCACCGCUGCCCCCGAGAACGACGCCACGGAAGGCGCAGUGGACAGCCCGGGAGACCUUCUUGAAGACGACAUCGUCGGCUUGGAGGCUCUUGAGGAGCACUCGGGUUAUUAUCUGCCUCCUCGCCUGAGUCCUCGCGUCCGACAAAGAGCCGGCUGAGGCCGACGCGCUCAUCAUCGCCUCCACGAUCUCUUCGGUUCCUGCCUCCGGGGAGCUGUCCAGCAGCUUCACCAGGGCGCCGAAGAGUUCGGAGAUGACAGUCUCCAGCUCCAGAGGNNNNNNNNNNNNNNNNNNNNNNNNNNNNNNNNNNNNNNNNNNNNNNNNNNNNNNNNNNNNNNNNNNNNNNNNNNNNNNNNNNNNNNNNNNNNNNNNNNNNCAAUAUGGGCAUCCAGGUCCCGCUAUUGGAUAUUGACCGAGGAGUCUCUCGGGUCAUGUCUACAUAGUUCACGAACCCGCAGGGUCUGCACACUUAAGGUUCGACGUUGUUUUAUGCGUAUUUGAGUUAUAUGGUUGGUUACCGAAUGUUGUUCGGAGUCCCGGAUGAGAUCACGGACGUCACGAGGGUUUCCGGAAUAGUCAGGAAAAGAAGCUUGAUAUAUAGGAUGACCUCAUUUGAUUACAGGAAGGUUUUCGGAGUUACCGGGAAUGUACCGGGAAUGACGAAUGGGUUCCGGGAGUUCACCGGGGGGGCAACCCACCCCGGGGAAGCCCAUAGGCCUUGAGGGUGGCACACCAGCCCUUAGUGGGCUGGUGGGACAGCCCAAAAGGGCUCUAUGCGCCAAGAAGAGAAAAUCAAGAGAAAAGAAAAAAAAGGAGGAGGUGGGAAGGAAGGGGAACUCCCUCCCACCAAACCAAGUCCAACUCGGUUUGGGGGGGGAGUCCUCCCCCCUUGGACUCGGCCGACCCCCUUGGGGCUCCUUGAGCCCCAAGGCAAGGUCCCCUCCCUCCCACCUAUAUAUACGGAGGUUUUAGGGCUGAUUUGAGACGACUUUUCCACGGCAGCCCGACCACAUACCUCCACGGUUUUUCCUCUAGAUCGCGUUUCUGCCGAGCUCGGGCGGAGCCCUGCUGAGACAAGGUCAUCACCAACCUCCGGAGCGCCGUCACGCUGCCGGAGAACUCUUCUACCUCUCUGUCUCUCUUGCUGGAUCAAGAAGGCCGAGAUCAUCGUCGAGCUGUACGUGUGCUGAACGCGGAGGUGCCGUCCGUUCGGUACUAGAUCGUGGGACUGAUCGCGGGAUUGUUCGCGGGGCGGAUCGAGGGACGUGAGGANNNNNNNNNNNNNNNNNNNNNNNNNNNNNNNNNNNNNNNNNNNNNNNNNNNNNNNNNNNNNNNNNNNNNNNNNNNNNNNNNNNNNNNNNNNNNNNNNNNNGUAAAGCAGCGGCGCAAGCAACGGGAGAAGGAAGGAAGAACAGAUUGCUUGCGGGAUUCGCCGGCGAGUUCGGUCGGCGAGGGAGUCUGAUCGGUGGGGUGAUGGGGGUGAGGGAGCCCGUGGUGAUGGAGAUACCGGCGGAGGAGGGGGCGGCGGCGAGGGUGCCGUCGCGAAUCAGGAGGAGGCUGCUCGAGGGCAGGACCAGUGGCGGCGGCGGUCCGGCCAGCACUGAGGAAAUCGAGGCCAAGCUCAAGGAGGCCGACCACCGGAGGCAGGUAGGUGUCCCUGUCGGAUACCGUUCUUUUUCGUUUUUCCCCUUGUUCCUUCUCACGGUGGAUUGCCAAGUCGGGGGCGUGAACUGUGAAUUCGAAGUGUUAAGGACUGCCUUUUUUUUUCUAUAUACUACUCCCUCAGUCCGGAAAUACUUGUCCUGAAAAUGAAUAAAACUGAUGUAUCUAUAAUUAAAAUAAGUCUAGAUACAUUCAUUCAUUUUAGGACAAGUAUUUCGGGAUGGAAGGAGUAUUUGCUACAGUAUUAUCAUCGUUGGUAGUUCCCAUUCUUACUGGUGAAACGAUAGUUGCAUGUCCUGCUAUUGAAGUGCUAUAUGGGGGGGGGGGGGGGGGAGUGGUGCUGUUUUUGAAGAAUUUUACAGUAACUUUAGACUUGUGAAAGAAUCCUUUGGUUGAGCCUGUUCAUGGGGGAGUUGGAGUGACAUUUUUUGGGAAUUGUUUUGGCGGUAGGUAGUCGUGAUGACUCGUGAGCUGAAGUUGGUCCCACGGGACCCACGAAUUGCUUUUCUGUUGGAUUUUGCCGCGUUUUUUCCCCCUAGUUUGGGGGUUUCCGUCUUUGGAUUGCAGCGUUUUUCCCCCAUAUUGAAAAGGUCUCAAUUUUAUCUGUAGUUCGGUGAAAGCGUAAACAAAUUAAUUUAGUUGUCUGCAUCGGUUUAUACCGAGUUGCCAGGAAAAAAAAGACAAAUAAUUAAUCAAAUAAUAAAGGUGAAAUUAUUGUAAGUUCUAACUGCUUAGGUUAGCAAAAUUGAUUUCAGGUUGUUUGGUGGUAGGAAAAUUAUCCUAGUUUGGUAGGAUAGUUUGCUUUCAAUCAUCGACCACUUGGUUUUGCUUAGAAGUAACUUUACCACUGAAAUUUUAGCUGCAACUGCUGUAGUUCUGUUAGUUCAUGUAAUCCUGGUAGGAGCUGUAGAAACAACUAAAUAACUACAGUAUGUGUUUUUUUGGUUAAAAAGUACUCCCUCCGUCUCAAAAUAAGUGUCUCAACUUUAUACUAGCUCUAGUAUAAAGUUGUACUAGGCUUGAGACAGUUAUUUUGGGACGGAGGGAGUAAGUUUGAAGUGAAUUAGCGAUACAUGCUUGAUCAAAUUAACUCAUGUCAAUUGCCCCUCCGCAGCAAUUCUACGAUUGGUUAUCCUGCAAAGCAAGGAAGAAGCCACGGAGCCCAUCGUGGUCGUCUCAAGAGGAAGAUUACGGACAGUGCCUUGAAGCCAAGCUUCAGGCAGCUGAGGAGAAAAGGCUAAGCCUCUUGGCAAAGGCACAGAACCGGUUAGCCAAGUUGGAUGAACUCCGACAAGCAGCGAAGAAUGAUGUGGAAAUGCGAAUAGAGAAGGAGAAGGAAGAACUUGAGACUAGAGUCGAGACUCGUGUUCGACAGGCAGAGGAAAACCGCAUGCGCCUUCUGCAUGCAGAUAUGCAGAGGCGGGCCGCACUGAAGAAGAGAACAGAGAGGUCCCUGGUGCAGAAGGCGACAUCUGAGAGCAAGUAUACAGAGCGGAUGCGAUCUGCUAUCCUGGAAAAGCGUGCUGCUGCUGAGAAGAAACGUCUGGCGUUGUUAGAAGCUGAGAAGAGGAAAGCUCAGGCUCGGCUCAUGCAUAUUCAACAAGCAGCCAUGACUGUAAGCAGCCAGAGAGAAGCAGAGAGGAUUAAAUUGAAAGAACAUCUGGAAAGCAAACUUCAGAGGGUAUGUGCUGUCAUACAUACGCUGAUUACAAUUUAAUUUUCAUGUCNAUUUUCAUGUCCUGCUUCUUAUCUGAUUUGCUGUCUUCUUGGAACAGGCCGAGAGGAAGAGAGCUGAAUAUUUAAAGCAGCGAGGAAGUCCGUGCAGUUCUGCUCAUGCUGAUUACAUCAAGCAUGCAGAUUUUCUUUCAAGAAAGCUUGCAAGGUAUUAUUCUCAUACCUUAAAUUUUCUUUGAAUACUAAGUACUCCCUCUGCAAUCUAAUAUAAGAGUGUUUAGAUUACUAAAGUAGUGUUCUUAAUGCUCUUAUAUUAGUUUACGGAGGGAGUAGUAUUUGGUUGUAUUUGCACGUUCGAGUUAAUUGAAGUUUCUUGUCAUAUACUGUAGGUGCUGGAGAAGUUUCAUGAAGUCCAGGAAGACAACACUUGCCUUAGCUCAAGCUUAUGAUUCCUUGGGAAUUAAUGAAAAAUCUGUGAAGUCAAUGCCAUUUGAGGAAUUAGCUAUGUUGAUGGGAUCUCCUACAGCUCUUGAGCCUACUAAGGCAUUACUUGACCGAUUUGAGAGACGUUUGAUUCUUUGUCAGUCAGCAAGUUCAUCAUCUGCAGAAAAUAUUGGCCAUCUACUGAAACGCCUUGUGACUCCAAAGAGGAAGGCACCUCCGAGUAAAGACGGAAGAACAAGGGUUGCAGCAAAAAGGCCAGCGAGAACUUCUGAAACAAGCAGGUUGUCUAGAUAUUCAGUGAGGGUGGUACUCUGUGCUUACAUGAUACUGGCUCAUCCUAGUGCUGUUUUAAGUGGAGAUGGUGAGCAAGAGAAGCUACUCAUGGAGUCAGCAGCAAGCUUUGUCAGGGAGUUUGAGCUGUUGGUUAAGACAAUACUUGAGGGACCAGGAAGAGCUUCAAGGCAGCCAUCUCUUGAUGGUGCUGAAUCAUCUAGUUUCCAGAAGUCCUAUGAUAUUGCCGGUCAAAGUAGUAAAUUCAAGACUCAGUUGGUUAAUUUUGACAAAGCGUGGUGCACCUACCUUUACAGAUUUGUGGUGUGGAAAGUAAAAGAUACAAGAUCAUUGGAGGGUGAUCUUGUUAGGGCUGCAUGCAAGCUUGAGCUGUCAAUGAUGCAGACAUGCAAGUUAACUGCCGACGGGCGGUCACACAACCUCACGCAUGAUAUGAAGGCGAUUCAGAAACAGGUUUCUGAC